CACGAAACUAUGUGAGCUAAUUUUGAUGAGCCGUCAUGUCGCAUAAUGACGAGAUGAAAGAAAAUUAGGGGUGAUAGGCUUUACAAACAUAGUGAUAUCUUGAUUUUCUUAAAAUGUAUAAGUACACUCACAUAUUUAAAGCUACAAGGUUUUAAAUCGUAAUUAAAUUUGAUUUAUAAUCGGUAAGAUAUAAAAAUCUAUACACUUAUUUACAUAAUAUACAAAUCAUAGUGAUUGUUUAUUUUAGAGAAAUGUAUAAUAAUUUUAAUAAUAUUAAUAAUGUCACUAUAAGUAUUUAGGAGGUGUUAAUAGUGAACUCGGCAAUAAGUUUUCAACUGUUUACCAAAAACAUAGCUGCGUGUAAGUACACGCAGUAUUUUCUGCUCAAUGAAUAUUAAAUAGCCGCAGUACCUUGACUGUGCAAAGGUAGCGUAAUCAUUUGUCUUUUAAUUGGAGUCACGUAUGAACGAAUAUAUGGGGACUUUCUUUACCAUUAACAACAAGAGAAAUUGCUUAAUGAGUGAAAAUUCUCAUAACUAAACAAUAGACGAGAAGACCCUAGAAAUUUAUGUUAACUUUUUGUUGGGGCAACAUAGUAACAAUUAACUUACUAUAUAUAUAUGAAAUUGAUUUGAUAAAUUAAAUUACUCUAGGGAUAACAGCAUAAUAUUGAAAUGUUUGUGACCUCGAUGUUGGAUUAGGGAGUUAUAGUUUAGAA
This 718-nucleotide ribosomal RNA is filed under the name Setobaudinia spina. RNAcentral's name for it is "partial 16S ribosomal RNA". The stretch from base 320 to 484 matches the Rfam family "Archaeal large subunit ribosomal RNA", at positions 1876 to 2091 of the family's 2987-position model. The record is from RNAcentral. Lineage: Eukaryota; Metazoa; Mollusca; Gastropoda; Stylommatophora; Camaenidae.